UAGGCUGGCGGUGCAGCUGGUUCGUCCCGCCCGCCAGGCGGGAUGUCGUAAGAGGGAACCCGGUGGAAGUCCGGGACUGCCCCGCAGCGGUGAGCGGGAACGACCGCCGUCACACGCACUGGACCCCGACGGUCCGGGAAGCGACGGCCAGUAGGAGCCCCGCCGGGAGACCGGCAGGCGUGCCCGCGAGUCCGAAGACCUGCCCGUUGCCCGCACGCGCC
This 221-nucleotide non-coding RNA is filed under the name Streptomyces qinglanensis. Lineage: Bacteria; Bacillati; Actinomycetota; Actinomycetes; Kitasatosporales; Streptomycetaceae. The record is from RNAcentral.